Non-coding RNA from Corynebacterium atypicum, 106 nucleotides. NCBI's taxonomy places the organism in Bacteria, Bacillati, Actinomycetota, Actinomycetes, Mycobacteriales, Corynebacteriaceae. The record is from Rfam.
CGACGGAGCGCGGUCAUGGGCUCUGUCCGGGGUCGAAGAUUCUGGUGUACUUCCCCGAUAUCAGAACAAUCCCCCGGACAGAGCCCUGGGCGCACCCCGCCUUUUG